Molecule: ribosomal RNA, 319 nt
Filed under: uncultured eukaryote
Lineage: Eukaryota
Description: partial 18S ribosomal RNA
Rfam family: Eukaryotic small subunit ribosomal RNA
Source: RNAcentral
CCCUUAGAUGUUCUGGGUAGCACGCGCGCUACAAUGGUCUUCGCAAACGGAUGCAUUCUCGAAGGAGAAUGCCAAUCUUGGAAUCUAUGCCUUGGUCGGGACAGUUGCUUGCAAUUUUUCGACUCGAACCAGGAAUUCCUUGUAAUCGUGAUUCAUCACAUCACGAUGAAUACGUCCCUGCCCUUUGUACACACCGCCCGUCGCUCCUACCGAUCGAAGAGUUAGGUGAAUUGUUUUGAUCGAUAAGAUUUGACUAUGGUCAACUCUCGUUGUGAAAUUCUGUGAAUCUGACUGUUUAGAGGAAGGAAAAGUCGUAACA